AUAACCUCCGGAAACGGAAGCUAAUACCGGAUACGACGUACGGAGGCAUCUCCUGUACGUGGAAAGAACUUCGGUCAAGGAUGGACUCGCGGCCUAUCAGGUAGUUGGUGAGGUAACGGCCCACCAAGCCUACGACGGGUAGCCGGCCUGAGAGGGUGACCGGCCACACUGGGACUGAGACACGGCCCAGACUCCUACGGGAGGCAGCAGUGGGGAAUAUUGCACAAUGGGCGCAAGCCUGAUGCAGCAACGCCGCGUGAGGGAUGACGGCCUUCGGGUUGUAAACCUCUUUUAGUAGGGAAGAAGCGAAAGUGACGGUACCUGCAGAAAAAGCACCGGCUAACUACGUGCCAGCAGCCGCGGUAAUACGUAGGGUGCGAGCGUUGUCCGGAAUUAUUGGGCGUAAAGAGCUCGUAGGCGGUCUGUCGCGUCUGCUGUGAAAACCCGAGGCUCAACCUCGGGCCUGCAGUGGGUACGGGCAGACUAGAGUGCGGUAGGGGAGAAUGGAAUUCCUGGUGUAGCGGUGGAAUGCGCAGAUAUCAGGAGGAACACCGAUGGCGAAGGCAGUUCUCUGGGCCGUAACUGACGCUGAGGAGCGAAAGCGUGGGGAGCGAACAGGAUUAGAUACCCUGGUAGUCCACGCCGUAAACGUUGGGCGCUAGAUGUGGGGACCAUUCCACGGUUUCCGUGUCGCAGCUAACGCAUUAAGCGCCCCGCCUGGGGAGUACGGCCGCAAGGCUAAAACUCAAAGGAAUUGACGGGGGGCCCGCACAAGCGGCGGAGCAUGCGGAUUAAUUCGAUGCAACGCGAAGAACCUUACCAAGGCUUGACAUACACGAGAACGCCCUAGAAAUAGGGAACUCUUUGGACACUCGUGAACAGGUGGUGCAUGGUUGUCGUCAGCUCGUGUCGUGAGAUGUUGGGUUAAGUCCCGCAACGAGCGCAACCCUCGUUCUAUGUUGCCAGCGCGUAAUGGCGGGAACUCAUAGGAGACUGCCGGGGUCAACUCGGAGGAAGGUGGGGAUGACGUCAAAUCAUCAUGCCCCUUAUGUCUUGGGCUUCACGCAUGCUACAAUGGCCGGUACAAAGGGCUGCAAUACCGUAAGGUGGAGCGAAUCCCAAAAAGCCGGUCUCAGUUCGGAUUGAGGUCUGCAACUCGACCUCAUGAAGUCGGAGUCGCUAGUAAUCGCAGAUCAGCAACGCUGCGGUGAAUACGUUCCCGGGCCUUGUACACACCGCCCGUCAAGUCAUGAAAGUCGGUAACACCCGAAGCCGGUGGCCCAACCCUU
RNAcentral lists this ribosomal RNA (1289 nucleotides) under Leifsonia sp. RNAcentral's name for it is "bacterial SSU rRNA". It matches the Rfam family "Bacterial small subunit ribosomal RNA", at positions 143 to 1443 of the family's 1533-position model. Lineage: Bacteria; Bacillati; Actinomycetota; Actinomycetes; Micrococcales; Microbacteriaceae. The record is from RNAcentral.